Paramormyrops kingsleyae is the source of this 1103-nucleotide long non-coding RNA. RefSeq lists it as uncharacterized. NCBI's taxonomy places the organism in Eukaryota, Metazoa, Chordata, Actinopteri, Osteoglossiformes, Mormyridae. The record is from RefSeq and is a predicted model, not a curated record.
CACACCCGAACUCAGCUUCUCUACCUUUGAUGGGUUUUUUUAAUCCUCAUUCUCCCAUCAGUCUCAGUCCUAUAACAGAUGUGGUUUCAGUUUUAAGGAGUGUAAUGCAUACAAAAAUGGCUGACUGAAAAAAUAUGUAUGUGCACAGCAAAGGUCUGUCAUACCAUCCUGGGUGUACCACACCCUUGUGCCCUGUGCUGUCUCCUUCAUGCCUGACCAGGAUAAGUGACUCUGUGCAUUCUGUAGUGCCCUGUGCUGUCUCCUUCAUGCCUGACCAGGAUAAGUGACUCUGUGCAUUCUGUAGUGCCCUUUGCAACUUCAAAUCCUCCCUCGUUCAUAAGUUCUUCAUUACGACUUCUAUCAUAUUUCAUUACCCAGCCUUAAACAAUUUUCUAGAGCAACUCUGAAGAAGUCUGCGUAAACAGUGUGGCGUGUUUGAGAGGAGACGCUUUAUACGUGUACGGUAUUACGGCAUGUUCACGUGCCACUGAUGAUUGUCGAUCCUUAUUGAUGAUGUCACGUGAGAAUGGAUAUCAGCGAACCUGUUGUGAUUAUUUCGUUUAAACACGUCUUUGUGUUCGUAUGGAGAUAACUGCUUGUUUAUCUGGAUAUGAGCGAAAAGAGAACACCUGUAACGGUAUCAUUUAUUGCCGGGUUAUUUAUUUAACUUCCACUGAGUAGCGGAAGGACAGGAUCCCGAGACAUUAAGCAUCAUUCCCCGUAACGGGGAGCCGCUGUCAUUUUGGGGGAGACUCCCGGACACGUGGGAAGUUGCUUGAUGUUACUUAAUUUUGAUCGUUUCCAAAACCGAAGUGGGUGCCCGGGUGGCCUUAUCUUCACAGCACACACGUUUCAGCGCAGGUCCAUUUGUAGAGAUGGAGUGCAGUCAUUAAUGGACCCCAGAAGAAGGCUUCACUGGGCGGAGCCAUCAUCCGUCCACGGCUCUGAUGUGAUCCAGAGGAUCGCCACCUGCUCGGGGCUGUCCAGCAAUCUUGAGGCAAGACAAGAAAAGAGCAGCUCGAGCGCGAGAAAGAGUGAAUGCUAAACUUCAGUGAGAAAGCCAACUCCAUCAUCAUCGUCUUUAUCAUCAUUAAAACAGAGUC